GGAAACCGUUAGCGUUUAAUGUAAGACGUUAAUUUCAAUUUUAUUCGGUGUUAUUCACAAACUUGUCGAGUUAGCCUUAAGACAGUAAAUAUUUAUACUUUUAAACUUAAAAUUUGCCACUAACGUGAGGUAUGACUGCUGAAGUAUUGUUCUUGUGAAAAGAUGUGAUAGAGAGCCAGGCAGAUCAUGAGGUGGCACACAGGAGCUGCAGCUCUUGCAGCAGGUUGCAUCAGUCUCGUCAGAUCCGGCCCUCACAGCUGUGAACAGCGCCCCCCAUAGCACUUCACUGCAUGACUAACACAAGGUGAAACCACUGUCACAUUUUACAGUGUGUGUGUAUUUGUGAGACAACUGAGCUCAUAUUUGCCAUCAGCCAAGGACAUGUGACUCAGUCAGCUCAGAUAUCAGGGAGUGUUACUGAUUAGAGAUUUACAGCACAGAAUCAGAAGAAACGACCUCAACCUUGGCCAAAAGAUAACUGUAGUUAAUAUGAAACUAGUGAUACUGGAGAGAGCUCAUAACAGGAAGUACAGUCUUCACUUCAGCCCUUUAACCAACAUACAAAGACAUUGUAAUAAUCAGACGAACAAGUGUGUAGUUCAAAGCAUUUUAUUGCAUUUUUUUUUUUUUUUUAGAAAAACAAUACAAAAUUCUGUAGCAACGGUCAAAUGUUGCUUCGAGUGAACUGCAAUCAUUCACAUGGUACAGUAAAGUGCUUAUUUUAAAUCAAAGUAUUUCGUAUUAAAGGAUGUAUUUAUUUUAAAUCUUCUCCCAUGAACACGAUGGGCUUGGGGUGAUUCAGACAGUGUUUGAAUCAGGUGUCAACGCUCAAACAAUAAAAUAAAAUUGAGACUGAAUCAA
Molecule: long non-coding RNA, 861 nt
Organism: Epinephelus fuscoguttatus (brown-marbled grouper)
Lineage: Eukaryota; Metazoa; Chordata; Actinopteri; Perciformes; Serranidae
Exons: 3
Source: RefSeq, a predicted model, not a curated record